RNAcentral lists this ribosomal RNA (1707 nucleotides) under Salmonella enterica. RNAcentral describes it as "partial 23S ribosomal RNA". It matches the Rfam family "Bacterial large subunit ribosomal RNA", at positions 1243 to 2925 of the family's 2925-position model. The record is from RNAcentral. Lineage: Bacteria; Pseudomonadati; Pseudomonadota; Gammaproteobacteria; Enterobacterales; Enterobacteriaceae. RNAcentral also lists the same sequence under 1 other name.
UAAGCCUGUGAAGGUGUGUCGUGAGGCAUGCUGGAGGUAUCAGAAGUGCGAAUGCUGACAUAAGUAACGAUAAAGCGGGUGAAAAGCCCGCUCGCCGGAAGACCAAGGGUUCCUGUCCAACGUUAAUCGGGGCAGGGUGAGUCGACCCCUAAGGCGAGGCCGAAAGGCGUAGUCGAUGGGAAACGGGUUAAUAUUCCCGUACUUGGUGUUACUGCGAAGGGGGGACGGAGAAGGCUAUGUUGGCCGGGCGACGGUUGUCCCGGUUUAAGCGUGUAGGUGUGUGUUCCAGGUAAAUCCGGUUCACUUUAACACUGAGGCGUGACGACGAGGCACUACGGUGCUGAAGCAACAAAUGCCCUGCUUCCAGGAAAAGCCUCUAAGCAUCAGGUAACAUCAAAUCGUACCCCAAACCGACACAGGUGGUCAGGUAGAGAAUACCAAGGCGCUUGAGAGAACUCGGGUGAAGGAACUAGGCAAAAUGGUGCCGUAACUUCGGGAGAAGGCACGCUGACACGUAGGUGAAGUGAUUUACUCAUGGAGCUGAAGUCAGUCGAAGAUACCAGCUGGCUGCAACUGUUUAUUAAAAACACAGCACUGUGCAAACACGAAAGUGGACGUAUACGGUGUGACGCCUGCCCGGUGCCGGAAGGUUAAUUGAUGGGGUCAGCGCAAGCGAAGCUCCUGAUCGAAGCCCCGGUAAACGGCGGCCGUAACUAUAACGGUCCUAAGGUAGCGAAAUUCCUUGUCGGGUAAGUUCCGACCUGCACGAAUGGCGUAAUGAUGGCCAGGCUGUCUCCACCCGAGACUCAGUGAAAUUGAACUCGCUGUGAAGAUGCAGUGUACCCGCGGCAAGACGGAAAGACCCCGUGAACCUUUACUAUAGCUUGACACUGAACAUUGAGCCUUGAUGUGUAGGAUAGGUGGGAGGCUUUGAAGUGUGGACGCCAGUCUGCAUGGAGCCGACCUUGAAAUACCACCCUUUAAUGUUUGAUGUUCUAACGUGGACCCGUGAUCCGGGUUGCGGACAGUGUCUGGUGGGUAGUUUGACUGGGGCGGUCUCCUCCUAAAGAGUAACGGAGGAGCACGAAGGUUGGCUAAUCCUGGUCGGACAUCAGGAGGUUAGUGCAAUGGCAUAAGCCAGCUUGACUGCGAGCGUGACGGCGCGAGCAGGUGCGAAAGCAGGUCAUAGUGAUCCGGUGGUUCUGAAUGGAAGGGCCAUCGCUCAACGGAUAAAAGGUACUCCGGGGAUAACAGGCUGAUACCGCCCAAGAGUUCAUAUCGACGGCGGUGUUUGGCACCUCGAUGUCGGCUCAUCACAUCCUGGGGCUGAAGUAGGUCCCAAGGGUAUGGCUGUUCGCCAUUUAAAGUGGUACGCGAGCUGGGUUUAGAACGUCGUGAGACAGUUCGGUCCCUAUCUGCCGUGGGCGCUGGAGAACUGAGGGGGGCUGCUCCUAGUACGAGAGGACCGGAGUGGACGCAUCACUGGUGUUCGGGUUGUCAUGCCAAUGGCACUGCCCGGUAGCUAAAUGCGGAAGAGAUAAGUGCUGAAAGCAUCUAAGCACGAAACUUGCCCCGAGAUGAGUUCUCCCUGAGACUUAAAGUCUCCUGAAGGAACGUUGAAGACGACGACGUUGAUAGGCCGGGUGUGUAAGCGCAGCGAUGCGUUGAGCUAACCGGUACUAAUGAACCGUGAGGCUUAACCUUACA